RNAcentral lists this ribosomal RNA (483 nucleotides) under uncultured bacterium. RNAcentral's name for it is "partial 16S ribosomal RNA". It matches the Rfam family "Bacterial small subunit ribosomal RNA", at positions 28 to 523 of the family's 1533-position model. The record is from RNAcentral.
GACGAACGCUGGCGGCGUGCUUAACACAUGCAAGUCGAACGAUGAAGCUGGAGCUUGCUCCGGUGGAUUAGUGGCGAACGGGUGAGUAACACGUGAGCAAUCUGCCCUUCACUCUGGGAUAACUGCGGGAAACUGUAGCUAAUACCGGAUACGAGACCUUGGGGCAUCCCAGGGUCUGGAAAGAAUUUCGGUGAAGGAUGAGCUCGCGGCCUAUCAGCUAGUUGGUGAGGUAAUGGCUCAACAAGGCGACGACGGGUAGCCGGACUGAGAGGGUGACCGGCCACACUGGGACGGGGACACGGCCCAGACUCCUACGGGAGGCAGCAGUGGGGAAUAUUGCACAAUGGGCGAAAGCCUGAUGCAGCAACGCCGCGUGAGGGAUGAAGGCCUUCGGGUUGUAAACCUCUUUUAGUAGGGAAGAAGCGCAAGUGACGGCACCUACAGAAAAAGCACCGGCUAACUACGUGCCAGCCGCCGCCGUAA